GGACCCGCACAAGCGGUGGAGCAUGUGGUUUAAUUCGACGCAACGCGAAGAACCUUACCAGGGCUUGACAUCCCGCGCAAUCCAUGGAAACAUGGAGUUCUGGCCUUCGGGCCGGACGCGGUGACAGGUGGUGCAUGGUUGUCGUCAGCUCGUGUCGUGAGAUGUUGGGUUAAGUCCCGCAACGAGCGCAACCCCUACUUUUAGUUGCCAGCAUUCAGUUGGGCACUCUAGAAGAACUGUCGGUGACAAACCGGAGGAAGGUGGGGAUGACGUCAAAUCAUCAUGCCCUUUAUGUCCUGGGCUACACACGUGCUACAAUGGCCGGUACAGAGGGUUGCCAAGGGGUGACCUGGAGCUAAUCCCAAAAAGCCGGUCUCAGUUCGGAUUGCAGGCUGCAACCCGCCUGCAUGAAGUCGGAAUCGCUAGUAAUCGCGAGUCAGCAUAUCGCGGUGAAUACGUUCCCGGGUCUU
Molecule: ribosomal RNA, 470 nt
Filed under: uncultured bacterium
Lineage: Bacteria
Description: bacterial SSU rRNA
Rfam family: Bacterial small subunit ribosomal RNA
Source: RNAcentral